Molecule: ribosomal RNA, 497 nt
Filed under: uncultured bacterium
Lineage: Bacteria
Description: partial 16S ribosomal RNA
Rfam family: Bacterial small subunit ribosomal RNA
Source: RNAcentral
GAUGAACGCUGGCGGCGUGCCUAAUACAUGCAAGUCGAGCGAACGGACGAGAAGCUUGCUUCUCUGAUGUUAGCGGCGGACGGGUGAGUAACACGUGGAUAACCUACCUAUAAGACUGGGAUAACUUCGGGAAACCGGAGCUAAUACCGGAUGAUAUUUUGAACCGCAUGGUUCAAAAGUGAAAGACGGUCUUGCUGUCACUUAUAGAUGGAUCCGGGCUGCAUUAGCUAGUUGGUAAGGUAACGGCUUACCAAGGCAACGAUGCAUAGCCGACCUGAGAGGGUGAUCGGCCACACUGGAACUGAGACACGGUCCAGAUUCCUACGGGAGGAAGCAGUAGGGAAUCUUCCGCAAUGGGCGAAAGCCUGACGGAGCAACGCCGCGUGAUGGAUGAAGGUCUUCGGAUCGUAAAACUCUGUUAUUAGGGAAGAACAUAUGUGUAAGUAACUGUGCACAUCUUGACGGUACCUAAUCAGAAAGCCACGGCUAACUACGUG